Molecule: long non-coding RNA, 818 nt
Filed under: Felis catus (domestic cat)
Lineage: Eukaryota; Metazoa; Chordata; Mammalia; Carnivora; Felidae
Description: lncRNA (ENSFCAG00000036828.3)
Source: RNAcentral
AUGGGUCAAGGGCACAAAGUCGCAGUUAUGCAAGAUAAAUAAGUUCUGGAGGUCUAAUACGGAGACGGUGAUGAGAGUUAACAAUACUGUAUUGUAUACUUGAUAUUUGUAAGAGGAUAGAUCUUAAAUCUUCUCAAUAGACACGUGCAAAUGGUAACUGUGUAGAGGUGAUAAAUAUGUUAAUUAGCUUGAUAGUGGUGAUCAUUUCACAAUGUAUGUGCAUAUGAAAACAUCAGGUCACGCAUCUUAAGUACAUACAAUUUUUAAUGUCAGUGGUACCUCAAUAAAGCUGUUACAAAUCUAUAUAAAGAGGAGGAAGUCAGGCAGGAAUCUUCCCACUGUGCGGCCUGCCUCUUUGCACUUCUUUGAAUUGCGUUUAUCACAGGCUACCUUAUGUAAGGAUGACGUGAAUGUCUGUGUGCCUUUCCCCCUCAAUUACAGCCUCUUGGCACGGAGGGCCUCUAUUCCACUGAUCUUAAUACAGCUACAGCAAACAGCAGGCACUCAAUGCUUGUUGGAGAAAAAUCCAAUCGAUUUCACUUUGGCAUCAGCUAUUCAGUUGGAAGCAGCUCAAGAAACAUACGGAUAUCAGAGAGGAGGGUGAGUGGCUUUCAAGGUCCAACUAAGGAGGUCACCUGAUCAUUCAGUGUUUGAAAGACACCAGCCAGCCACAGGCAUCCAUCUAACUGACCGGGCCAAUGAAAGACGGUGAGCAAAUAUUCCUGGGAGCUGUAUACGGAGGUAGAGACCCGAUUUCAGGACCAAUACUGCUCAAUACUUAAAGGCCAAUGCCGAAAAAUAAAAUGCAUUAUUCCCCC